UAGUGAACUAGUACCGUGAGGGAAAGGUGAAAAGAACCCCGGAGAGGGGAGUGAAAUAGAUCUGAAACCAUACAUCUACAAGGAGUCGGAGCCCUGCGGGGCGACGGCGUGCCUAUUGAAGAAUGAGCCGGCGAGUGUACCUUUAUUCCAGUCUAAGUGGUAAUCCCACGCAGGCACAGUGAAAGCGAGCAUGAAUAGUGCGAAAUUUAUGGAGUAGGGGUACGACCCGAAGCGGGAUGAGCUUGCCAUGAGCAGGGUGAAGCGACUGUAAUAGGUCGUGGAGGCCCGAACCGGUUGGCCGUACAAAACCAUCGGAUGACUUGUGGUAAGGAGUGAAAAGCUUAUCGAAUUCCGUAAUAGCUGGUUCUCUCCGAAACAGCUUUAGGGUUGGCGUCGUGUGUUACCUACGGGGGUAGAGCACUGGAAAGAGCAGACAGGGAGAAAUCUCGCUACUCUUAUCAAACUCCGAAUACCGUUAGGCCAGAGCACGGCAGUUAGACUGUGGGCGAGAAGGUCCAUUGGUCAAAAGGGAAACAGCCCAGAUCGCCAGUUAAGGUCCCUAAAUAUAUGCUCAGUGCAUCUCGAGGAGGUGGAAACUCAUAAACAGCCAGGAGGUUGGCUUAGAAGCAGCCAUCCUUUAAAGAUAGCGUAACAGCUCACUGGUCGAGAGUUUCUGCGCCAAAGAUGAUCGGGGCUCAAGCAUAUUACCGAAACUGCGGAUUCGUACACUUCAUUGAGGAAAGGAGGAAAGAAAAUGGCAAAAUGGGAAGCCAAAUAUGAUUAUGUCUACCAUGAUGAAGAUGGUGGAUUUACAAGAACAAGAAAAGUAGAGAUUAUUGAAGCUGACUCUAUUGAAGCAGCGGAAAUAAAAGCAAAGUCUCUGCAUCAAGAACAGGUGUACAUCGGAGGAGAUUCUUCGGAAGGCACUCUGAUUUCUCUAGAAAGGAUUUUUGAUCUUUAAUUUUUCCGAGGGUUCCCCUCGGAUCCUCAAUGAAGUGUACGAGUGGUAGGAGAGCGUUCUAUUCUGCGAUGAAGCCAAGGGGGGACCCGCGGUGGAGCGUAUAGAAGUGAGAAUGCCGGCACAAGUAACCGCAAGGAGGGUGAGACCCCCUCCCGCCGAAAUACCAAGGUUUCCUUCGCGAUGGUGAUCAGCGAAGGGUUAGUCGGUCCUAAGGGAAUCCCGAACGGGGGACUCGAUGGAGAGCAGGUUAAUAUUCCUGCACAUAGCGUUCGUUCCGAUGGAGGGACGGAGUGUUGUACUUUCCGCGGCUUAUUGGAUUGCCGUAGGGGUGCUGAGGGUGCUAGAUAGGCAAAUCCGUCUAGCGUUAGCCCAAGGUAUAGCUAAAGGUGAGGCUUCGGCCGAUCCGAUGGAGAGGAGCACGCUUCCAAGAAAAACUUCUAAGGUUGUACGCGCGCUAUUCCGUACCGCAAACCGACACAGGUGGUAGAGUCGAGAAGACUAAGGCGAACGAGUGAGAGGUCCUCAAGGAACUCGGCAAACAAGCGGCCGUAACUUCGGGAUAAGGCCUGCCUUUCUAGCGAUAGAAAGGCCGCAGCGAAAGAUUUCCUGGCGACUGUUUAACAAAAACACAGCUCUCUGCGAAGACGUAAGUCCAUGUAUAGAGGGUGACGCCUGACCAAUGCCGGAAGGUUAAGUACGGGGGGUGAUAUGAUCUUCGGAUUGUAUUGCUGGACUGUAUAAGCCCCGGUCAAUGUCAGCGAUAACUAUAAUCGUUCUAAGGUUCAGUGUAUGAGCAAUCGUGCAUUGAACGGACUAGAACGAUUGUAGGGUUAAGCAGCCCGAGCCAUAGCUACCUCCUGCACAGAAAUGUGUAGUGAGUCCAAUUGCAACCAACAAGAGACCAAAUGUUGCACAUCUGACCAUUCAGUUGCAGAUGAAGAUAGAGUCCUAUUGUGUACGAAGAUGCGCGGGCAUCUUCAUAAAGAAGGAAAAAUAGAGCGUAUUUCCUUGUCGGGUAAGUUCCGACGUGCACGAAUGGCGUAACGACCGGGAAACUGUCUCGAGGACCUGCUCGGUGAAAAUACAAUAGGGGUAAAGAUGCCCCUUACCUGCAGUUAGACGAAAAGACCCCAGGUGCUUUACUGUAGCUUCGUAUUGGGGCUAUUGAAUUCAUGCGUAGUAUAGUGGGGAGACUUUGAAGCAUUUCUCUUGGGGAAUGUGGAGUCGCCAGUGAAAUACCCAUCUUGAUUUUGGUAGUCUCUAACCAGGUAGGAAAAACCUAUCAGGAACAGUGCGUGGUAGGCAGUUUAAGUGGGGCGCUUCCCUCCCAAAAAGUAACGGAGGGGUUCCAAGGUCAACUAGGCGCGAAUGGAAACCGUGCCGAUAGUGUAAUGGCAGAAGUUGGCUUGACUGCAAGGCGUAGGUGCCGCGCAGACACGAAAGUGGGACAUAGUGAACCGAUGGUACGCGUUAGAUGCGGCCGGAGAUUACCCGAUAAAAGUAACCCUGGGGAUAACAGGCUAGUCGUGCCCAAGCGUCCAAAGCGACGGCACGGUUCGGCACCUCGAUGUCGGCUCAACUUAUCCUGGGGCUGGAGCAGGUCCCAAGGGUUUGGCUGUUCGCCAAUUAAAAAGUUACGCGAGCUGGGUUUAGACCGUCGUGAGACAGGUUGGUCUCCUAUCUACUGCAGGCGUCGAUACUUGACGAGAGUUGUCCCUAGUACGAGAGGACCGGGAUGAACGAACCUCUGGUCUGUCGGCUGUCACGCCCGUGGCACUGCCGAGUAGCUAUGUUCGGAAUGGAUAACUGCUGAAAGCAUCUAAGCAGGAAGCCAACUUGGAGAUUAGGUAUCAUUAAGUCCCCAGAGAGAUGAUCUGGUUGAUAGGCACUAGGUGGAAGUGCGGUAACGCAUGCAGCCGAGGUGUACUAAUCGGACGUAGUUCCUGCA
Molecule: ribosomal RNA, 2909 nt
Filed under: Candidatus Kaiserbacteria bacterium
Lineage: Bacteria; Candidatus Kaiseribacteriota
Description: bacterial LSU rRNA
Rfam family: Bacterial large subunit ribosomal RNA
Source: RNAcentral